Molecule: ribosomal RNA, 491 nt
Filed under: uncultured bacterium
Lineage: Bacteria
Description: partial 16S ribosomal RNA
Rfam family: Bacterial small subunit ribosomal RNA
Source: RNAcentral
GUGAGCGCUGGCGGUAGGCCUAACACAUGCAAGUCGAACGGCAGCACAGUAAGAGCUUGCUCUUACGGGUGGCGAGUGGCGGACGGGUGAGGAAUACAUCGGAAUCUACUUUUUCGUGGGGGAUAACGUAGGGAAACUUACGCUAAUACCGCAUACGACCUACGGGUGAAAGCAGGGGAUCUUCGGACCUUGCGCGAUAGAAUGAGCCGAUGUCGGAUUAGCUAGUUGGCGGGGUAAAGGCCCACCAAGGCGACGAUCCGUAGCUGGUCUGAGAGGAUGAUCAGCCACACUGGAACUGAGACACGGUCCACACUCCUACGGGAGGCAGCAGUGGGGAAUUUUGGACAAUGGGCGCAAGCCUGCUCCAGCCAUACCGCGUGGGUGAAGAAGGCCUUCGGGUUGUAAAGCCCUUUUGUUGGGAAAGAAAAGCAGCAGGUUAAUACCCCGCUGUUCUGACGGUACCCAAAGAAUAAGCACCGGCUAACUUCGUG